RNAcentral lists this ribosomal RNA (338 nucleotides) under Lelenchus leptosoma. Its description in RNAcentral is "bacterial SSU rRNA". It matches the Rfam family "Eukaryotic small subunit ribosomal RNA", at positions 601 to 945 of the family's 1831-position model. Lineage: Eukaryota; Metazoa; Nematoda; Chromadorea; Rhabditida; Ecphyadophoridae. The record is from RNAcentral.
AUAGGACUAUUGCUGCGGUUAAAAAGCUCGUAGUUGGAUUUGUGUCAGGGCCCCGGUUUGUGCUUCGGUGCAUUACUGGGUGUACUCGGACUUAUGGUCGGUUCUCUCGCAUUGGGCUUAAUCGCUCGGUGUGGGUGACUGGCGCUUUUACUUUGAACAAAUCAGAGUGCUCAAGACAGGCGUAUGCCUGAAUGUUCGCGCAUGGAAUAAUGGAAGAGGAUUUCGGUUCGCUUUUCAUUGGUUUUACGACCGAGAUAAUGGUUAAUAGAGACAGACGGGGGCAUCUGUAUUUCUGCGUGAGAGGUGAAAUUUUUGGACCGCAGAAGGACAAACUACAG